This 222-nucleotide long non-coding RNA is filed under the name Physcomitrium patens. RNAcentral describes it as "long non-coding RNA (PPAT_LNC011941)". Lineage: Eukaryota; Viridiplantae; Streptophyta; Bryopsida; Funariales; Funariaceae. The record is from RNAcentral.
AUAAGCUCCAUAUUGGUAACGAUUACUACGGAUGGUGGUCCUAAAUUGCGUUUAGCUUUCAUAUUUCGGCCACUUUUCUCUCUGUCCGUAGCUCUCUUUGCACUCUCCAUUGCUAUAAUGCACACUCUUUCAAGCUCUAACCAUCAAUACUAUGCUCCAAUACUCCGAAACACCCAAAAUUAUAACACCAAAAAGAAACAAUAAUAGAAUGCGACACCUGAG